RNAcentral lists this ribosomal RNA (390 nucleotides) under Eukaryota sp. RNAcentral describes it as "SSU rRNA". It matches the Rfam family "Eukaryotic small subunit ribosomal RNA", at positions 828 to 1224 of the family's 1831-position model. The record is from RNAcentral.
CUUUGGUUCUAGUUUGUUGGUUUGAGGACCAAAGUAAUGAUUAAAAGGGAUAGUUGGGGGGAUUGGUAUUCAGAGGCUAGAGGUGAAAUUCUUGGAUUCUCUGAGGACCUACUACUGCGAAAGCAUUUCCCAAGGAUGUUUUCAUUGAUCAAGAACGAAAGUUAGGGGAUCGAAGACGAUUAGAUACCGUCGUAGUCUUAACCAUAAACUAUGCCGACUAGAGAUUGGUGGUGACAUUUUGUCGCAUCAGCAUCUUACGAGAAAUCAAAGUUUUUGGGUUCCGGGGGGAGUAUGGUCGCAAGGCUGAAACUUAAAGGAAUUGACGGAAGGGCACCACCAGGAGUGGAGCCUGCGGCUUAAUUUGACUCAACACGGGAAACUCACCAGGUC